RNAcentral lists this ribosomal RNA (512 nucleotides) under uncultured bacterium. RNAcentral describes it as "partial 16S ribosomal RNA". It matches the Rfam family "Bacterial small subunit ribosomal RNA", at positions 28 to 507 of the family's 1533-position model. The record is from RNAcentral.
GAUGAACGCUGGCGGCGUGCCUAAUACAUGCAAGUCGAACGAAACUUCUUUAUCACCGAGUGCUUGCACUCACCGAUAAAGAGUUGAGUGGCGAACGGGUGAGUAACACGUGGGCAACCUGCCCAAAAGAGGGGGAUAACACUUGGAAACAGGUGCUAAUACCGCAUAACCAUAGUUACCGCAUGGUAACUAUGUAAAAGGUGGCUAUACUACCGCUUUUGGAUGGGCCCGCGGCGCAUUAGCUAGUUGGUAGGGUAAAGGCUUACCAAGGCAAUGAUGCGUAGCCGAAUUGAGAGGUUGAUCGGCCACAUUGGGACUGUGACACGGCCCAAACUCCUACGGGAGGCAGCAGUAGGGAAUCUUCCACAAUGGGCGAAAGCCUGAUGGAGCAACGCCGCGUGGGUGAAGAAGGUCUUCGGAUCGUAAAACCCUGUUGUUAGAGAAGAAAGUGCGUGAGAGUAACUGUUCACGUUUCGACGGUAUCUAACCAGAAAGCCACUGCUAACUACGUG